Long non-coding RNA from Trifolium pratense (red clover), 552 nucleotides. RefSeq lists it as uncharacterized. The record is from RefSeq and is a predicted model, not a curated record. The transcript is spliced from 3 exons. NCBI's taxonomy places the organism in Eukaryota, Viridiplantae, Streptophyta, Magnoliopsida, Fabales, Fabaceae.
CUUUUCUUUUUUUUACAAAGACACUUAACUAAUUUCUUUAUUCAAAAUAGGAUCAGUACAAGCCAGAGAAAUCUCAAAAUACGGUGACGAGUAUUUAGCUACCUAGUCAGUGUACUACAAUAAUAUGCAAGCCAAAUCCUUGUUCUAGAUUCAAGAAAUUUUAUAAUAUAAAACCCGGAGAUGACUAAGCAAAAGAAGAAUAGAAUGAAAAAGGACUUUUGAUGAAAAAGUGGAAAUAAUUUAGAGUGAAAUAUGGCGGGAUUCCAUUUGCUGUUCCUUCUCGUUUGCUUGCGCGCGAGGCUCGUGAUAUUACCUAGAAAGUUUCAAGUGUUAUUUUGUCGGACAAACAACCAUUUUAGUCCUUCAAUUAGAGUUGUACAAUCGGUUAGCCCAACUUGGGCCAGACAAAAUAGAUGAGCCAGAUCGAAUUCAAGAUAAUUUGGGAUUUGAGUGAAAAGUUUAUUUAGAUUUGGGGUUUUAGGGUUGUUGAUAAUUUGGAAUUUUAAUUUUUAAUAAGAUGAAUCUUCUUUGUUUGUUUAAGAAAGAAGAUGA